UCAGCGAGGGGGAGAGGCAGCCAGGGAAAGGGAGCGGAGCGCAAAGGGAGGCAGAGUGGAAGGCAGAGGGGGGAUUUGGGGACUAUUGCAGGGAGGCAGCGAGAGGCACAGGCAAAUAAUGCCAGAGAAGGAGGGAACUGGGCAGGAGGGGGAGACCUGAACCCACCGCCGAGCCACGGAGGCACAUCAGCACUCCGUGGGAUGGACGCUCCUGGGAGCAAAAAAUUCUGAGAGGCAGAGGCAGGAGGAGAGCUCUGGCGUGGGCAGGGCAGAGUUAGUAGAGGAGCAGGUCGCAGCAGAGAAGUAGCUCUUCUAGGAGGGAAAAAAUAAACCUAAGCUGGAGGUGAGCGAGGGCUGCAGAGAGACUUCCCUGAUUCCUCCGGUCCGGCUGAGACAUUUCAUGGUGAGAUGGAGAAACCGUCCGCUUUCCCCUUCCUCUGAUGUUGGCUCGGCACGGCUGGAGCAGGCAGCAGCCCUCGGCAGGACCCGGUGCCUGGCACCCAGCCCUGCUGGCACGGAGGAGCGGGAGCUCGGCCACUGACUCUUGUGGCAGGACAGCCCCACGGCACUGAGCUGCCUUAUGAGCCCUGGCAUGAACCUUGGGAAUAUUUGUGAGGAAUAGGAGAAGAGAUGGAGUUACAAGGAUAAUGAAGAGGACAAACGGAAUGCUCUGGGUCUGCGAAGCUCUGCAAAAAGGCAAAGAGAUCCCCUCUCAGCUGCAAAUGUUUCCAUCCUGACCCCCCAAGAGGCAAGAGGCUCAUCUGCUGUGUUGUCACCGUGCCUGAGCUGGCAGGCUGAGUCUGUGGAUGCCGAUCUCAAAGCCAGCCAGAGAUACACAGCCUGUAAUGGGGAUAAAGGCACAAAGCGGAGCGCAACCAGCGGCUGCGGUAUUGACCACAGACAGGAGGGAAGCAUUUGCCAGACAACUCCAGAUAAAGAAAGCAAAGACUAAGAGUGUAAAAAUACCCUGGGAUUUUUCCAUCGUUGUCGUUCACAGUGUACGUCCCAGAGCACCAGAUAUGGUUGUUAUAAAAAGAGAAGUGGGGGAGUGCUUCAGCAUGGACUUUUCUGUUCUGUUUCAUGAGACUCUUCCACUGCAAAUUUAAGGAAGGAUUGACAGUAUAUGAUCCACUCUGGCAGGGGCUGAAGGAAGACUGGGAUGUGCGAGGCACUGCACUGUGUACUGGGAAUGGAGAAAUGGAGGCAUUGCGUCAGCACCAAGUGCCUUGACAUUAUUGGCACACGGAUCCCCUGGAAAAGGACAGCAACAACCCAUCCCCCUGUGCCUGCUCAGGGUCAGAGCAGAAGCGGGGUGGCAGUGUGGGCUGGUGUGAUGGUUUGUGCUGCUGGAGCACAGUGUCACACGGGAAGGUGGAGAUGACUGCAGCACCACGGUGGUGUCCCCAGCACUGCUCAAUCUAGGACACAGGAGGGGAAAAGUGGUUGGGAAGGAAGGCAGGGCAGCCCACACUGUGGGGCUGGAGGUGGAUGUUGGCCCCUGGAGCCCCACCUGGCUGACAGCUUCAAUGCCACAGGACAGUGGCUGUGAUGCCUGUGCUGCAGCAGCUUUCCACAGAAAUACCCAUAGAAUAUGUGGGUAUAGAAAUACAUGGGUAUUCCCACACACCAGGGACAGGGUAGCAGAGGGAUGGAGAGGCAUCUCUCUGGACUGCAGUAUCCUGCAUCUCCCAGGGUGCCUCAUGCUGCACCCACCAAUGUGGUUUCAUCCCUCUCCCCAGAAGUCACCACUGACCCCACAGCUUCCUCCUCCAUGUUGUGGGUCCCAGGCAGCAGAGCAAGCUCCAAGAAAGACCCUUGGACAUGCUCUAGGACUUCCAUCUCUGUCCUCAGCUAGGCUCUCCUCCCCCUUGUCCAUGUGACAGGCAGCACUUGUUCAGAAUGUGAAUGUCACCCCCUUUUUCUGGAGAUGUCUCUGAGCAUUCCCCUCUCAUCCAGUUUGUGUUUCAGAUUUUCAAGCUGCAAUGAAACCAUUUCACAGGCAUUUGAACUGUGUUUGCGUAGGUUUUGGGCUCCUGGUAGGGCCUCUGGCCUUGUUGAGCUGGCAGCAUCUAUUUUGCAGGCAGAGAUGUCAGUGGUGGCCCUGGGCCACCAGCUGCUGAGGAGGGACAGUGACAUCUCCAGGGGGCUAAUGCAAAUGUCAGCACCAGUGUGAUAGCAGUCCCCAGCCCAGGGCUUCUUGCCUGCCUGUCUGUCCUUCCCAUGGUGGCACCACGCACUGUGUGGGUGUGUUGAGGUGGGAGUGGGAAGUGUGUUUAUUUUCGUCUGUCUACUGGCUCGUGCCGCUCUGAGUUUGUGACACUCGAUAUUACUAACACUUCCCCGUGCCAGCUGGCAGCAGGAGAUGAAUCAGAUUGGCAGCACCACUAUGUGGACCCCUUAGUGUCCAUCCAGCUUGGAGUGAUGUCUCUGGCCAAAGAACUGGUGAUAUCUCUCGCCCCUGCCCAGGGUGAGCCCUGGCACCAAAAUGCCAGUGGCCUGAACUUGCUGCUGGUAAUCUCUCAGUACCCUGUAGACAGGGUUGUCCCCUCUGACCCAUGCUGCCUGCCAGGCCCUGUCCCUCCUUCAUGCUGGAGGUCUCAGGUGGCUUCGUGACGUGCUCUCUGCCCACUGGCGGCAUCCCCAAGUUGGGGUCGGCUCUGCAGCCAGCAGGAUAGUUCAUCCACCUGCUGCCAAAAAGAGGUGUGGCGGUUGUUGUGGUUUAAUCUCAGCUGGCAACUAAGUAUCACUCAGCUUCUGGCUCCCUCCCCCUGUCCUCAGCCCCUGCCAGGAGGACAAUCAGAAAGAGAAGGUAAACCUUGCAGGUUGAGAGAAGAACAAUUUAAUAAUUGGAACAAUAACAAACUAAUAAUAGGAAUUGUAAUAAUAACUAGUGGGAGAGAGACUAACAGGAUCUAAGAGAAAUUAGUGAUACACAACCCAGUUGCUCACCACCCACUGAUGGAUGCCCAGCCCAUCCCUGAGCAGUGAUUGGCCCCUUUAGAUAAAUCCCCCAGUUUAUCUACUGGGCAUGAUGCUCUCUGGCAUGGAAUAUCCCUUUGGCCAGUUUGGAUCAGCUGUCCUGGCCACGGUCCCUCCUGGAUUCUUGUGCAGCUCCUCACUGGCAGAACAUGGGAAAUUGAAAAAUCCUCGGCACUACUUAACAACUCUAACACCCAUGGGUUAUCAGCAUUAUUUCAUACUGAAUCCAACACACAGCACUGUAUUUGGCUACAAGGGGGAAAAUUAACUCAGUCCCAGGACAGCAGCUGAUUAUUUACCCCCCCCCCAACUCCUGACCACUCAGCACCCAUGGAACUCGAUGACAUCACAGACCUUGGAAUGUUGGUUGCUCCAGCUGUUGCCCAGAGCCAAGACGUAGAGGUGUCUGGUCCUCCACUCCCUCCUGAACACCCUGCUGUUACAGACGGAGGGAUUUUGGUGGCUGCCUCUUCCCCCACAAGCAUCAGUGAGGCUGCAGAAGCUGGCACACUGCUUGUCAGUGUCACCGGCCUGCGUGAUCUGGGCUCCAGGAGGAUAAUUUGGAUUCUCCCACUUGCUGCAGCCCAGAGCACCUUGAAAAAUGUCGUGGCCACUUGGCAUCUCUGGACCAAUGGUGAGCGUCUUACCAGAGUCUCAAGGCUUGGAAGAUGAUGAUGAUGAUGACAGGGACGAAUUCAGGUACUCCUGCCACUCUGCGCAUUCUUCACCCCCAAGCAAGAGCAAUGACAGCUUAUAUGACAGUCAGACAGAGGAUCUGGGAGAACCCAUCCCAUAUUUCCUAACUCCCAGCCACUCUAAGAUGGUGGAAGGUGAACAAGUGGAGCUUGAGGAGGAGGGUCAGAAGUUUCAGGAACCAUUUUACAAAGACCAUUUUAAAAAGUCUGACAACUUGUCUGGAGAUAAAGAGCCCAGCCAGACCCAAGAUUUUCCUGGGCAUCAGGGGUCGCCUGCUCUCCAAAGGUCCAGUAUGGCACCAUGUGUCUCCCAAGACUCUUUCCAGAGUAACACAGACCAGCAGUCGCAGACAGAGGCUGCUGCCCCACAGGCCCAUGCCAGUGACCCCUCUGUGGGGGCUCCACAGUGCACCACGGGAGCAGAGCCCCGCACACUGCACAAGGAGGCCAUCGGGGAGAGGGAUUUCCCAUCUCUGCAGCUGACCUACAGCAUCCUAAGGGAGGAGAACAGCGUGAUCAGGGAUGAAAAUGAGGCACUCAAGGAGAGGUAUCUCGCACUCCAGGAGGAGAACUGUGUGCUCACGGAGAUGUUCUAUGGGCUCAGGGAGGACAACGUUGUGCUCAAGGAGGAGAAUGUCUUGCUCAAUGGGGAAUACAGCAUGUUCAGGGAGCAGUACGACAGGCUCAAGGAUGAGAAUGACACACUCAGAGAGGACAAUGCCACUAUCAGGAGAAUGUUUAAGAACUUCCAGAACAGCUUGGAGACCCAGGCGUGCAUGGUGUCAAGCCUGCAGGAGCAGCUGAAAACCAACCUGGCCGAGCGGAAGAAGGAAGCCCGAGAGCUCCAGUCCUUAGUCCAGCAGACUAAGUGUCAUCUCCAGCUAAUGACCCAGCGGGCUCUGGAUGCAGAAGGAAACAUGGAGAGGCUGAAGCAGAAGAUCUUUAUUCUCCAAGGACAGCUGGAGAGAUAUAAGCUGGAGAACGAAAACCUGAGAGCAGACCUGCCUGGGAGCAGCGAAGCACGACUUGGAUUUCGUGUGGCAAAACCCCCACAAGCUCCUAACGGGCGCAAAUGGCUCCAUCAGGCAACUCCUACCUCAGGAAUGAAGGUUCUUCCUGUUAUUGCUGAGGUCCUUGAAUCUACCAGCAAAAUUCUCAAAUUGUAAGCAGAAAAAACCUGUGAGUGCAAUUCUGUGUGACUUCUGUGGAUGAGUGUACAGACUGAGACCAUGGGUCUUCCACUCACAGCUAUUUGCUGUAAAUAAAAGCAUUUGUUUUUCCAUUCUCAAAUGUGUGUGCUCAGACUGGUAGCCUUAAUCCUUUGUGGAAGUAAUUUCCUUGUGAUUAAGUAUCAGUUGCAGGUACUGGUGUGGCCUUAGCUGCUGAUAACUCUGUUCAGGCACGGUGGAACCAGCAGCAAACAUUGUCCAGGCUCUGAGCUGCACAGUCCAGCUGUGGUGGGCUCUGCGCAAGAGGCUGUGCCACAGUUGUGGCUGACACGAACCCCUGUGUGGGAGCCAGGAGGAAGCAUAACAGCACAGGAUGCAGUGCUCUUAAACAGUGUGCUCAUCCCUUCCCAUAGCUGUACCAGCCACAAUCAGAGAUGAGCAAAGCCCUUGUAUUUCAUCCUGCUUCCUUUGCCUCUUCUUGGAGAGGUGGGAAGGGUGAGGAGCAGAGAUCCAGAUACUGUUGCACAUGGUUUCAGUGAACAGAAGCUCCUUUCUUCCUCUUUCUUUGGAGCUGGCUGCUUCCCGGGCCACAAAUCCAGUCUCUAGAAAUUGUGCACCUGUUUCUGCAGCUGGGGAAAAAACCUCUGGGAAGCUGUGAAGUAUUCAUAUAUGCGAGCUGCGGGAGUGCCUUCUCUCCUGUACUGGUGUCAGUGCUGGAUAAGAAUGACCUUGGUGUAUGCAGGCUACCUAAGGGAGCUGCCAGUUGGAGAGGAUGCCCUUCCUCUCCUGGCUGGGCCUGGCAUAGAAAGGUGUACCUAAACUGCCUGCCUUUGUCACCUCCCAGAGUCACAUGGGAGCCUGUGGCUCAAACUCACCAUGUAAUCACUAGAGUUACAUUAUAGCUUUAUCCUAGCAGGACCAUCUGUGGGCAUGAGGUGACCUUUCUUAAUCACAUCAACAUUUCUGAUUAAUUCAGGUUACCGGCCCAGGUUCUGCCAUUGGUUUACCCAGCUACACAGCAAAAGUUCCUGUAUCCAGCCAAACUGACCCUUCUUAAAGACUUGGAUGCUGUAGGGUAGUGAGGGGGUGGGAGCUGGCAGAGUUCAGUGCCAAAGUGCUUUUUCCUGAUGGGAAUUUUUGGGCAACUGUUUAACCUCUGUGUGGUGAGUUGUGGAUUACAAGGUUGUUGUCUUCUCCUGGUCCCAUAAUACCCUUGAUCUGAACAACCAUGUUCAUGUUGCCACAGAGCUUAAACUGCCUCAGUAACCAGGAGGAGAAACUGCUGGUUAAACUUCAUCCCAUCAGAGGUGAUGUCUGAAGCUCCUUACUUGCUGCUUUCCAGUCUGUGCUCCUAACUGGGGAAAGCUGGUGGGCUUCCACAGACACAUGAAGCCCCAUUCUGCAGCACUGAUGACUGAGGCAAGGAUGGUUCUCACCAGCUUUUCCAUCCUAGACAUCACUUGCUGUUCCUCUCUCCUAUCCGUGCAUGACCACUUGCAAGCAGCCCUAAACCUUAGAUUUGACCCCCAAAUCCUUGUAUUUGUCACAUAUCUGGCAACCAGUGGUUGCUCACCAGUGAGGUUGGGAGUAAGCAAAUUAGCUGGCUCUGUCUGCAUCCCGCACUCUGCACUGGCUGCUGUAAUCCGAAGGCUACAGAGCAGGAUUAGCAUGGGUGUACAAAGCCCUUCCUAAUCUGUGAGUCAUUACCCCUUCACUGCAUUUCACUUCUCAGCGGCUCUGGGCAGACAGAUAGGUGAGCUCUUGAGUUUUUGGCUUCCUCGUUCUUCCUUUCCAGGAGGACUGGAUCGAGACAUAACAUCUGCUGCACCUCCUUCCAAGACUCUGCUGAGCUGCUCCUUGGACGCUGUACACAGGGCAUGUGCAAGGCACAUGCCCAGGAGCACUUGCAAUGGCAGUGCCAGUCCCAGCUCAUCAGAGGUGAAACCCGGAGCCACCCAGUCCCAUGUGAGUGCUGUUCCAUGAGUUCCCGUGCCAUUCCAGCUCCCGUGGCCCCCUGACAUCUGACGAUACAG
Myiozetetes cayanensis is the source of this 6876-nucleotide RNA transcript. It is a transcript of the gene named potassium inwardly rectifying channel subfamily J member 4, with no coding region annotated. The record is from RefSeq and is a predicted model, not a curated record. Lineage: Eukaryota; Metazoa; Chordata; Aves; Passeriformes; Tyrannidae. The transcript has 3 exons.